This 524-nucleotide ribosomal RNA is filed under the name Planois gayi. Its description in RNAcentral is "partial 16S rRNA". The stretch from base 398 to 524 matches the Rfam family "Bacterial large subunit ribosomal RNA", at positions 2473 to 2600 of the family's 2925-position model. Lineage: Eukaryota; Metazoa; Arthropoda; Insecta; Hemiptera; Acanthosomatidae. The record is from RNAcentral.
GGCUUAUUGUUUAAAUUUAUAUUAAGUCUUGCCUGCUCAAUGAUAAUUAACAUUAUUAAAUAGCCGCAGUAUUUUGACUGUGCAAAGGUAGCAUAAUCAUUUGUCUUUUAAUUGUGGACUUGUAUGAAUGGUUUGAUGAAAUAUUAACUUUCUUUAUAUAAAAUUAAUUAAUUUAAUAUUUUGGUUAAAAGGCUAAAAUGUUUUUAUAGGACGAGAAGACCCUAUAGAAUUUUAUAUUAUUGUAAACUCAUAAAUUGUUUGAUUUUAUAAAUUUAUUAUUUAUAAUAAUAUUUUGUUGGGGUGACAGGGAAAUUUAUUCAACUUUCUUUAAUAAUUUAUUAUUACUUUAUAUAUUUAUGAUCCUAUUUUAAGGAUAUUAAGAUUAAAUUACCUUAGGGAUAACAGCGUAAUUCUUUUGGAGAGUUCAUAUCGAUAGAAGAGUUUGCGACCUCGAUGUUGGAUUAAAAUAAGUAUUAGGUGUAGAAGCUUAAUUACUAGGUCUGUUCGACCUUUAAAUUUUUACA